AACGAACGCUGGCGGCAUGCCUAACACAUGCAAGUCGAACGAGACCCCUGACUUCGGUUGGCGGGUCUAGUGGCGCACGGGUGCGUAACGCGUGGGAAUCUGCCCUUGGGUUCGGAAUAACUCAGAGAAAUUUGAGCUAAUACCGGAUGAUGACGAAAGUCCAAAGAUUUAUCGCCCAGGGAUGAGCCCGCGUAAGAUUAGCUUGUUGGUGGGGUAAUGGCCUACCAAGGCGACGAUCUUUAGCUGGUCUGAGAGGAUGAUCAGCCACACUGGGACUGAGACACGGCCCAGACUCCUACGGGAGGCAGCAGUGGGGAAUAUUGGACAAUGGGCGCAAGCCUGAUCCAGCAAUGCCGCGUGAGUGAUGAAGGCCUUAGGGUUGUAAAGCUCUUUUACCAGGGAUGAUAAUGACAGUACCUGGAGAAUAAGCUCCGGCUAACUCCGUGCCAGCAGCCGCGGUAAAGUCUGUACU
Molecule: ribosomal RNA, 472 nt
Filed under: uncultured bacterium
Lineage: Bacteria
Description: bacterial SSU rRNA
Rfam family: Bacterial small subunit ribosomal RNA
Source: RNAcentral